UGGCCAUAUAAUUGAUAUUUCCCCCCACAUCUGCAGUAGUCAGACGGUGAAUUUUGUUUGAAGCAUAUCUUUCUUUGAUUUGCCUUUUCCCUAUAUUUUGUUCAAUAGAGCAUGGACUGUGGUUUGAUCAUCUUGAUUCUGAGAUCUAUUGAUUCUUUUGUUGGGCUUCAAUUGUGCCUUUACUUUCAAGCAUAAAAUGAAUCUUCUGAUAGAUGUGGAAGGUUGGUUUAUGUAUCUAGCGGGCGCAGCACUGCUUAAAUAGGUGUGAACACGUGGUAUUCUAGCGAGCAAUAGGGAUGCCAACAUCUUCUAUAGUUAAUUGAAA
RNAcentral lists this small RNA (325 nucleotides) under Histoplasma capsulatum. Its description in RNAcentral is "hypothetical RNA". The record is from RNAcentral. RNAcentral also lists the same sequence under 1 other name. Lineage: Eukaryota; Fungi; Ascomycota; Eurotiomycetes; Onygenales; Ajellomycetaceae.